GACGAACGCUGGCGGCGUGCCUAACACAUGCAAGUCGAACGAAGCACUGUGUGUUGAGACUUCGGUUGAUUCACACUUUGACUUAGUGGCGGACGGGUGAGUAAUGCGUGAGCAACCUGCCCUUCAGAGGGGGACAACAGUUGGAAACGACUGCUAAUACCGCAUAAUGUAUAGAGGGGGCAUCCCUUUUAUACCAAAGAUUUUAUCGCUGAAAGAUGGGCUCACGUCUGAUUAGUUAGUUGGUGAGGUAACGGCUCACCAAGACCGCGAUCAGUAGCCGGACUGAGAGGUUGAACGGCCACAUUGGGACUGAGAUACGGCCCAG
This 325-nucleotide ribosomal RNA is filed under the name uncultured bacterium. RNAcentral describes it as "bacterial SSU rRNA". It matches the Rfam family "Bacterial small subunit ribosomal RNA", at positions 28 to 334 of the family's 1533-position model. The record is from RNAcentral.